RNAcentral lists this ribosomal RNA (253 nucleotides) under uncultured bacterium. Its description in RNAcentral is "partial 16S ribosomal RNA". It matches the Rfam family "Bacterial small subunit ribosomal RNA", at positions 524 to 776 of the family's 1533-position model. The record is from RNAcentral.
UACGUAGGGGCCUAGCGUUGUCCGGAAUCACUGGGCGUAAAGGGUGCGUAGGCGGGUCUUUAAGUCAGGGGUGAAAUCCUGGAGCUCAACUCCAGAACUGCCUUUGAUACUGAAGAUCUUGAGUUCGGGAGAGGUGAGUGGAACUGCGAGUGUAGAGGUGAAAUUCGUAGAUAUUCGCAAGAACACCAGUGGCGAAGGCGGCUCACUGGCCCGAUACUGACGCUGAGGCACGAAAGCGUGGGGAGCAAACAGG